This 442-nucleotide ribosomal RNA is filed under the name uncultured bacterium. RNAcentral's name for it is "partial 16S ribosomal RNA". It matches the Rfam family "Bacterial small subunit ribosomal RNA", at positions 338 to 795 of the family's 1533-position model. The record is from RNAcentral.
CCUACGGGAGGCAGCAGGGGGGAAUAUUGGGCAAUGGGCGCAAGCCUGACCCAGCAACGCCGCGUGAAGGAAGAAGGCUUUCGGGUUGUAAUCUUCUUUUGUCAGGGAAGAGUAGAAGACGGUACCUGACGAAUAAGCCACGGCUAACUACGUGCCCGCAGCCGCGGUAAUACGUAGGUGGCAAGCGUUGUACGGAUUUACUGGGUGUAAAGGGCGUGUAGCCGGGUUGACAAGUCAGAUGUGAAAUCCUGCGGCUUAACCGCAGAACUGCAUUUGAAACUGUUGAUCUUGAGUACUGGAGAGGCAGACGGAAUUCCUAGUGUAGCGGUGAAAUGCGUAGAUAUUAGGAGGAACACCAGUGGCGAAGGCGGUCUGCUGGACAGCAACUGACGGUGAGGCGCGAAAGCGUGGGGAGCAAACAGGAUUAGAUACCCUUGUAGUC